This 719-nucleotide ribosomal RNA is filed under the name Staphylococcus aureus. RNAcentral's name for it is "partial 23S ribosomal RNA". It matches the Rfam family "Bacterial large subunit ribosomal RNA", at positions 426 to 1147 of the family's 2925-position model. Lineage: Bacteria; Bacillati; Bacillota; Bacilli; Caryophanales; Staphylococcaceae. The record is from RNAcentral.
GUGAAAUUCCGUCGGAAUCUGGGAGGACCAUCUCCUAAGGCUAAAUACUCUCUAGUGACCGAUAGUGAACCAGUACCGUGAGGGAAAGGUGAAAAGCACCCCGGAAGGGGAGUGAAAUAGAACCUGAAACCGUGUGCUUACAAGUAGUCAGAGCCCGUUAAUGGGUGAUGGCGUGCCUUUUGUAGAAUGAACCGGCGAGUUACGAUUUGAUGCAAGGUUAAGCAGUAAAUGUGGAGCCGUAGCGAAAGCGAGUCUGAAUAGGGCGUUUAGUAUUUGGUCGUAGACCCGAAACCAGGUGAUCUACCCUUGGUCAGGUUGAAGUUCAGGUAACACUGAAUGGAGGACCGAACCGACUUACGUUGAAAAGUGAGCGGAUGAACUGAGGGUAGCGGAGAAAUUCCAAUCGAACCUGGAGAUAGCUGGUUCUCUCCGAAAUAGCUUUAGGGCUAGCCUCAAGUGAUGAUUAUUGGAGGUAGAGCACUGUUUGGACGAGGGGCCCCUCUCGGGUUACCGAAUUCAGACAAACUCCGAAUGCCAAUUAAUUUAACUUGGGAGUCAGAACAUGGGUGAUAAGGUCCGUGUUCGAAAGGGAAACAGCCCAGACCACCAGCUAAGGUCCCAAAAUAUAUGUUAAGUGGAAAAGGAUGUGGCGUUGCCCAGACAACUAGGAUGUUGGCUUAGAAGCAGCCAUCAUUUAAAGAGUGCGUAAUAGCUCACUA